UCCACGCCCUAAACGAUGUACACUAGUUGUUGCCAUGCUAGUCAUGGCAGUAAUGCAGCUAACGCAUUAAGUGUACCGCCUGGGGAGUACGGUCGCAAGAUUAAAACUCAAAGGAAUAGACGGGGACCCGCACAAGCGGUGGAGCAUGUGGUUUAAUUCGAAAAUACGCGAAGAACCUUACCUAGGCUUGACAUUGAAGAAACAGAGUAGAGAUACACUGGUGCCCUUCGGGG
Molecule: ribosomal RNA, 233 nt
Filed under: uncultured bacterium
Lineage: Bacteria
Description: partial 16S ribosomal RNA
Rfam family: Bacterial small subunit ribosomal RNA
Source: RNAcentral